Molecule: ribosomal RNA, 497 nt
Filed under: uncultured bacterium
Lineage: Bacteria
Description: partial 16S ribosomal RNA
Rfam family: Bacterial small subunit ribosomal RNA
Source: RNAcentral
GAUGAACGCUGGCGGCGUGCCUAAUACAUGCAAGUCGAGCGAACGGACGAGAAGCUUGCUUCUCUGAUGUUAGCGGCGGACGGGUGAGUAACACGUGGAUAACCUACCUAUAAGACUGGGAUAACUUCGGGAAACCGGAGCUAAUACCGGAUAAUCUUUUGAACCGCAUGGUUCAAAAGUGAAAGACGGUCUUGCUGUCACUUAUAGCUGGAUCCGCGCUGCAUUAGCUAGUUGGUAAGGUAACGGCUUACCAAGGCAACGAUGCAUAGACGACGUGAGAGGGUGAUAGGCCACAAUGGAACGGAGACACGGUCAAGACUCCUAAGGGAGGCAGCAGUAGGGAAUCGUACGCAAUGGGCGAAAGCCUGACGGAGCAACGCCGCGUGAGAGAUGAAGGUCUUGGGAUCGUAAAACUCUGUUAUUAGGGAAGAACAUAUGUGUAAGUAACUGUGCACAUCUUGACGGUACCUAAUCAGAAAGCCACGGCUAACUACGUG